GACUAACGCUGGCGGCGUGCUUAACACAUGCAAGUCGAACGAAGUGGCGAACGGGUGAGUAACACGUAAUAAACCUGCCCUUCAGAGGGGGACAACAGUUGGAAACGACUGCUAAUACCGCAUACUGAAGGAGGGGAUUGCGUCUGCUUAGCUAGUGGGCGGGGUAACGGCCCACCAAGGCGAUGAUCAGUAGCCUGUCUGAGAGGAUGAGCAGCCACAUUGGGAUUGAAACAAGGCCAAGACUCAUACGGGCAGCAGAAGUGGGGAAUCUUCCGAAAUGGAAGAAAGUCUGACGGAGCAACGCCGCGUGAGUGAUGACGGCCUUCGGGUUGUAAAGCUCUGUUAAUCGGGACGCGGUACCGGAAUAGAAAGCCACGGCUAACUACGUGCCAGCAGCCGCGGUAAUAC
RNAcentral lists this ribosomal RNA (408 nucleotides) under uncultured bacterium. RNAcentral describes it as "partial 16S ribosomal RNA". It matches the Rfam family "Bacterial small subunit ribosomal RNA", at positions 28 to 526 of the family's 1533-position model. The record is from RNAcentral.